GAUCAUGGCUCAGAACGAACGCUGGCGGCAGGCUUAACACAUGCAAGUCGAACGAAGUCUUCGGACUUAGUGGCGCACGGGUGAGUAACACGUGGGAAUAUACCUCUUGGUGGGGAAUAACAUCGGGAAACUGAUGCUAAUACCGCAUACGCCCUUCGGGGGAAAGAUUUAUCGCCGAGAGAUUAGCCCGCGUCCGAUUAGCUAGUUGGUGAGGUAAUGGCUCACCAAGGCGACGAUCCGUAGCUAGUCUGAGAGGACGAUCAGCCACACUGGGACUGAGACACGGCCCAGACUCCUACGGGAGGCAGCAGUGGGGAAUAUUGCACAAUGGGCGAAAGCCUGAUGCAGCAAUGCCGCGUGUGUGAAGAAGGCCUGCGGGUUGUAAAGCACUUUCGGUAGGGAAGAUAAUGACGGUACCUACAGAAGAAGCACCGGCUAACUCCGUG
Molecule: ribosomal RNA, 446 nt
Filed under: uncultured bacterium
Lineage: Bacteria
Description: bacterial SSU rRNA
Rfam family: Bacterial small subunit ribosomal RNA
Source: RNAcentral